This 404-nucleotide ribosomal RNA is filed under the name uncultured Peridinium. RNAcentral describes it as "partial small subunit ribosomal RNA". It matches the Rfam family "Eukaryotic small subunit ribosomal RNA", at positions 30 to 432 of the family's 1831-position model. Lineage: Eukaryota; Dinophyceae. The record is from RNAcentral.
GCUUGUCUCAAAGAUUAAGCCAUGCAUGUCUCAGUAUAAGCUUCUAUACGGUGAAACUGCGAAUGGCUCAUUAAAACAGUUACAGUUCAUUUGAUGGUUACUCCUUACAUGGAUAACUGUGGUAAUUCUAGAGCUAAUACAUGCGCCCAAACCUGACUCCGUGGAAGGGUUGUGUUUAUUAGUUACAGAACCAACCCAGGCUCUGCCUGGUCUUGUGGUGAUUCAUAAUAACUGUUCGGAUCGUAUGGCUUUUUGCCGACGACAGAUCAUUCAAAUUUCUGCCCUAUCAGCUUUCGACGGUACUGUAGUGGACUACCGUGGCAUUAACGGGUGACGGAGAAUUAGGGUUCGAUUCCGGAGAGGGAGCCUGAGAAAUGGCUACCACAUCCAAGGAAGGCAGCAGG